This 468-nucleotide ribosomal RNA is filed under the name uncultured bacterium. Its description in RNAcentral is "partial 16S ribosomal RNA". It matches the Rfam family "Bacterial small subunit ribosomal RNA", at positions 28 to 507 of the family's 1533-position model. The record is from RNAcentral.
GACGAACGCUGGCGGCGUGCCUAACACGUGCAAGUCGAACGGAAAGGCCCUGCUCUUGCUGGGUGCUCGAGUGGCGAACGGGUGAGUAACACGUGAGUAACCUGCCCUUGACUUUGGGAUAACUUCAGGAAACUCGGGCUAAUAUCGGAUAGGAGCUCCUGCUGCACGGUGGGGGUUGGAAAGUUUGGGCGGUUGGGGAUGGACUCGCGGCUUAUCAGCUUGUUGGUGGGGUAGUGGCUUACCAAGGGUUCGACGGAUAGCCGGCCUGAGAGGGUGACCGGGCACAAUGGGCCUGAGAUAGGGCGCAGAAUGGAACGGGAGGCAGCGGUGGAGAGUAUUGCGCAAUAAGCGGAAGCCAGAUGUAGCAACGUCGGGUGCGGGAUGACGGCCUACGGGUUGUGAACCGCUUUGGCAUGUAACGAAGCGUGAGUGACGGUAAUGGGUAAAGAAGCACCGGCUAACUACGUG